AGAAAGGCCCUUAUUAGGGUCACCACAUUUUUUAAAAAGAGAUCAUU
Molecule: non-coding RNA, 47 nt
Organism: Mesocricetus auratus (golden hamster)
Lineage: Eukaryota; Metazoa; Chordata; Mammalia; Rodentia; Cricetidae
Source: Rfam